This 700-nucleotide ribosomal RNA is filed under the name uncultured bacterium. RNAcentral describes it as "bacterial SSU rRNA". It matches the Rfam family "Bacterial small subunit ribosomal RNA", at positions 56 to 733 of the family's 1533-position model. The record is from RNAcentral.
UGCAAGUCGAACGCGAAAGGGAUCUUCGGAUCCCCGGUAGAGUGGCGCACGGGUGAGUAACGCGUAAAUAAUCUACCCUGAUGUCUGGAAUAAUUAGCCGAAAGGCUGACUAAUACGGGAUACAUGCUUAGCUGUUGGGUUAAGCAGGAAAGGUGGCCUCUAUUUAUAAGCUAUCGCAUUGGGAUGAGUUUGCGUACCAUUAGCUAGUUGGUGGGGUAAGAGCCCACCAAGGCGACGAUGGUUAGCGGGUCUGAGAGGAUGAUCCGCCACACUGGCACUGGAACACGGGCCAGACUCCUACGGGAGGCAGCAGUGAGGAAUAUUGCGCAAUGGGGGCAACCCUGACGCAGCGACGCCGCGUGAGUGAGGAAGGCCUUCGGGUCGUAAAGCUCUGUCAGCAGGGAAGAAGUGCAUGAUGGCUAAUAUCCAUUGUGUUUGACGGUACCUGCAAAGGAAGCACCGGCUAACUCCGUGCCAGCAGCCGCGGUAAUACGGAGGGUGCGAGCGUUGUUCGGAAUCACUGGGCGUAAAGGGCGCGCAGGCGGUCUUAUAAGUCAGAUGUGAAAGCCCACGGCUUAACUGUGGAAGAGCAUUUGAAACUGCAAGACUUGAGUACCAGAGGGGAAGGUGGAAUUCCCGGUGUAGAGGUGAAAUUCGUAGAUAUCGGGAGGAAUACCGGUGGCGAAGGCGACCUUCUGGC